GACGAACGCUGGCGGCGUGCUUAACACAUGCAAGUCGAACGGUGAAGCGCCUUCCUUUUUGGUGGGUGUGGAUGAGUGGCGAACGGGUGAGUAACACGUGAGUAACCUGCCCCCUUCUUCUGGAUAACCGCAUGAAAGUGUGGCUAAUACGGGAUAUUCUGGGUCUGUCGCAUGAUGGGUCUGGGAAAGAUAUUGUUUCGGUGGGGGAUGGGCUCGCGGCCUAUCAGCUUGUUGGUGGGGUGAUGGCCUACCAAGGCGGUGACGGGUAGCCGGCCUGAGAGGGUGGACGGUCACACUGGGACUGAGACACGGCCCAGACUCCUAGGGGAGGCAGCAGUGGGGAAUAUUGCACAAUGGGCGCAAGCCUGAUGCAGCGCCGCCGCGUGAGGGAUGGAGGCCUUCGGGUUGUGAACCUCUUUCGCCAGUGAAGCAGGCCUGCCUCGUUUGUGGGUGGGUUGACGGUAGCUGGAGAAGAAGCGCCGGCUAACUACGUG
This 494-nucleotide ribosomal RNA is filed under the name uncultured bacterium. RNAcentral's name for it is "partial 16S ribosomal RNA". It matches the Rfam family "Bacterial small subunit ribosomal RNA", at positions 28 to 507 of the family's 1533-position model. The record is from RNAcentral.